This 1426-nucleotide long non-coding RNA is filed under the name Coturnix japonica (Japanese quail). RNAcentral describes it as "lncRNA (ENSCJPG00005016867.1)". Lineage: Eukaryota; Metazoa; Chordata; Aves; Galliformes; Phasianidae. The record is from RNAcentral.
AUAAAAAAAUCUUUGGAGGGGAGGGGAAAGAAGGAUGGAUCUCCUGAAAUCCCCCUCCAAAGAAAGGGGGGGAGGGAAAAAAGAAACCGACCCCCCCCCCAGUCAGUGAUUUCCCGGAGAAAAAGAAUAAUGAGAAAAACUAAAAAACGUGGGGGAAAAAUAUCCCCCCCCCCUCCCCCCCUUCCUUCAGUGCCAGUCAAAGAAUUCGUUUCUUCUUCCUUUCAGCAUCCUCUCAACAAGAGACAUCCUCUGGCAAUGGAGAAAAUCCCAAGAGAAAGAAAAAUAAAAUGCCCCGAAAUGAGCUUAGCAAAAUGUGAUAUCGAAUCUCACAGGUCAGUUGAGCACCAUCACCAAGGAGGAAGGAGAAGACAACAAAGCCAGAACCUGGGCACUGCAGGAGCAGGGAGUUUCUGGAGCAAACCUUGAAGCUGACUCCUCCAAAUUAUACAUUGAUGGGCUGAAGCCUGGGCAAUAGAAGAGAUCAUUCCUGUGUAUUGCAGGUGUAGUGGAAAUGCUGUCAUUGCUUGAAGCAGUGAUUGAGCACCUGGUGGGAAAACAAAGCCAACCCAGGGGAGCUCAGGUGCAUGCAAUGUACCUGAGUGACCAGAAGGGGUGGAGCCAGGAUCCACCCCUUCCCAAACCUCAUUUAAGGGCUGGCAAGGGAAGUAAGCACUUCUUGUUGAAGAUCUCUUUGUUUCUGAGACCUUCUAAAGGUAAGUAGCUUUUUCCCUGUUUUUUUUUUUUUUUUUUCUUUUUUUCUCCUUUUCUUUUUUGUGGCUGUUGUAUUUGAACAUAUUGUCAUUUGCUGUUGCUUAGGACUUUGCUGCUUAGCUGUCAUUGCUGUGCUUUCCAUUGUGUUACAGCAGGGUGCCUAUUUCUUUCAUUAGCCUGAUGUUGAUCAAGUCCAUGUAUCCUUCAGCCCAGGCACAUAGGACUCUGUAUUUUGUUCCAUGAUAGAGCUUGUGAUGGUUCCCUUCAGGGGCAGUGACCCAGUGGCUGGAGUCACCUCAGCCAGGAGAUCCUGUUUAUUCUUGCACCAAUGAAAUGCUCUCUAGCUCUUAUGUGUUCAGUCAUUUCCAAUGCUAGAGCCCACACUGGGACUCAGGCUCCAGAAAGGGCUGGCUGGGCCACCAGCUUGAUGUUUGUUUGUAAGUACUGACUGUAUGUACAGGGUUUGUAGGGGUCAUCCAGGCUCAAUUGUGCUCUGGAAAUAACAGGAAAAGAUAACAUGUGUUGUCACAGUGUGGAGGACAGUGGUGAGUGAUAUAACAAAGGGAAUGCGUGGAAGGUGCUUGAGUAAAAGCCCUACUGAAGGGAGCAUCACAAAGACUGAGAGCUUCAGAAUGUCAGCUAAAUUCAUAGUUUCCUGGUUGAAAGAUGAGAUACUGGUGUCGCACGCAUCAAGGUGCCUAUCUUGCCUUUCUAA